This 514-nucleotide small RNA is filed under the name uncultured Glomus. RNAcentral's name for it is "SSU rRNA". It matches the Rfam family "Eukaryotic small subunit ribosomal RNA", at positions 569 to 1086 of the family's 1831-position model. The record is from RNAcentral. Lineage: Eukaryota; Fungi; Glomeromycota; Glomeromycetes; Glomerales; Glomeraceae.
AGCAGCCGCGGUAAUUCCAGCUCCAAUAGCGUAUAUUAAAGUUGUUGCAGUUAAAAAGCUCGUAGUUGAAUUUCGGGGUUAGUAGGUUGGUCAUGCCUCUGGUAUGUACUGAUCUCACUGAUUCCUCCUUCCUGAUGAACCGUAAUGCCAUUAAUUUGGUGUUGCGGGGAAUUUGGACUGUUACUUUGAAAAAUUAGAGUGUUUAAAGCAAGCUAACGCUUGAAUACAUUAGCAUGGAAUAAUGAAAUAGGACGUUCGAUCCUAUUUUGUUGGUUUCUAGGAUUGACGUAAUGAUUAAUAGGGAUAGUUGGGGGCAUUAGUAUUCAAUUGUCAGAGGUGAAAUUCUUGGAUUUAUUGAAGACUAACUACUGCGAAAGCAUUUGCCAAGGAUGUUUUCAUUAAUCAAGAACGAAAGUUAGGGGAUCGAAGACGAUCAGAUACCGUCGUAGUCUUAACCAUAAACUAUGCCGACUAGGGAUCGGAUGAUGUUAAUUUUUAAUGACUCAUUCGGCGC